This is a long non-coding RNA of Mustela lutreola (European mink), 505 nucleotides long. RefSeq lists it as uncharacterized. The record is from RefSeq and is a predicted model, not a curated record. Lineage: Eukaryota; Metazoa; Chordata; Mammalia; Carnivora; Mustelidae. The transcript is spliced from 2 exons.
UUCUUUAACUCUGCAUUUGGGUAAAAAGCUGCCCUAGGAACUUGGCCAAGGGGUGCCUGGAAAUUCUUUCAUCAAGGAGCAUUUAUCAAGAUUUGAAAAUCGCAAGCUCUUACCCGGAAAGGCACAGCUAGAGCUCAUCUCUGGGGAGGGCUAGUGGUAAUAAACAAAAGGCGUGGAACCUGGAGGCGGUGCUCCUCAGUUUCAGGUUGGCUUCCAGACUUGAGCUCCUCGAACCCAAGAAGGCCCGUUCGACCAACUCCUCAACUGGACAUCACCGUCCCCCUUAAAGGGCUCCUGGGAAGACGGCCUGAGGUGAUGCUCACGGAGCGCCUAAUGUAAGACCUGGUACUCAAGGAUUUACCAGAUAGGAGAUAAUAGAAAGCCAGUGAAGGUUUCUGGGCAGGGAAGAGCACGGCCAAAUAUCAUCUAGAAAGCCUGCAAGUCUCCAACAUUCACGUUAGCAGAGCCAUGCUGCUGUGAAAAAAAAAAAAAAAAAAAAUCCCUU